AUGUCAGACAAAUCAAAGAUGGCGGUGCCCGUGUCCAGGCUCAUAACGGCUGUCAUGGAAGGGGAAAGUGAAGCAUCAAGAACUACCAAACAGAUUGCACAGACAAGCUCCAUUCAAGAGAUAUCGCAGACAGGUACUGAGGAAGGUAGUUCAAACCCUAACCCUACCCCUGAUUCUGACUCU
Saccostrea echinata is the source of this 183-nucleotide long non-coding RNA. RefSeq lists it as uncharacterized. Lineage: Eukaryota; Metazoa; Mollusca; Bivalvia; Ostreida; Ostreidae. The transcript has 3 exons. The record is from RefSeq and is a predicted model, not a curated record.